Melitaea cinxia (Glanville fritillary) is the source of this 478-nucleotide long non-coding RNA. RefSeq lists it as uncharacterized. The transcript has 2 exons. The record is from RefSeq and is a predicted model, not a curated record. NCBI's taxonomy places the organism in Eukaryota, Metazoa, Arthropoda, Insecta, Lepidoptera, Nymphalidae.
AUUUUUAUCAAUAUGUAUGUCUUACUCGUUAUUAAUAGUUAUCGUUAAACAAUACGAACAAAAAAUGUAUUAAUAUUUAUAUAUAGGAAGAACAAUGUUGUAUUGUACUUAUAACCUCAGGCAUUUUACCUUGAGUACAAUUUUAAUUUUAGACAGGCAUACUAAUACAAUCAGUUUGUAAUCAGUAAUGUCGCGCUUUUGACGCUUAUCUGUUCAAAAUAAUAAUUAAAAAAAAGUUAUCAAAUAUUAUUUGUGAAAUGACAACUUUCGCGCGCUUUUUAACGAAAUUUAAUUGUAGUUUAUACGUGCCGUGUUGCCAAAACUAAAGUUAUCUGUGACAAAAAUAAAAUUAGAUUUUUCGAUUCGUUACAUUUUAACGUUAUUUUGUUGCGUAUCGGUAAGAUAAUAUAAUAAAUACGGAAAUAAUAUUGUGAUAUUUAAAAAUUGAUAAACACAAUUCAUUGUCAAAGAGUGCUUG